This 301-nucleotide ribosomal RNA is filed under the name uncultured bacterium. Its description in RNAcentral is "partial 16S ribosomal RNA". It matches the Rfam family "Bacterial small subunit ribosomal RNA", at positions 509 to 807 of the family's 1533-position model. The record is from RNAcentral.
CAGUCGCCGCGGGAAUACGUAGGGUGCAAGCGUUAAUCGGAAUUACUGGGCGUAAAGCGUGCGCAGGCGGUUUGUUAAGACAGAUGUGAAAUCCCCGGGCUCAACCUGGGAACUGCAUUUGUGACUGGCAAGCUAGAGUGUGGCAGAGGGGGGUGGAAUUCCGCGUGUAGCAGUGAAAUGCGUAGAUAUGCGGAGGAACACCGAUGGCGAAGGCAGCCCCCUGGGCCAACACUGACGCUCAUGCACGAGAGCGUGGGGAGCAAACAGGAUUAGAUACCCCGGUAGUCCCUGUCUCUUAUAC